This 460-nucleotide ribosomal RNA is filed under the name uncultured bacterium. RNAcentral's name for it is "partial 16S ribosomal RNA". It matches the Rfam family "Bacterial small subunit ribosomal RNA", at positions 338 to 795 of the family's 1533-position model. The record is from RNAcentral.
CCUACGGGAGGCAGCAGUGAGGAAUAUUGGUCAAUGGGCGUAAGCCUGAACCAGCCAAGUCGCGUGAGGGAUGAAGGUUCUAUGGAUCGUAAACCUCUUUUAUAAGGGAAUAAAGUGUGGGACGUGUCCUGUUUUGUAUGUACCUUAUGAAUAAGGAUCGGCUAACUCCGUGCCAGCAGCCGCGGUAAUACGGAGGAUCCGAGCGUUAUCCGGAUUUAUUGGGUUUAAAGGGUGCGUAGGCGGCCUUUUAAGUCAGCGGUGAAAGUCUGUGGCUCAACCAUAGAAUUGCCGUUGAAACUGGGAGGCUUGAGAAUGUUUGAGGCAGGCGGAAGGCGUGGUGUAGCGGUGAAAUGCUUAGAUAUCACGCAGAACCCCGAUUGCGAAGGCAGCCUGCCAAGCCAUGACUGACGCUGAUGCACGAAAGCGUGGGGAUCAAACAGGAUUAGAUACCCCAGUAGUC